RNAcentral lists this ribosomal RNA (468 nucleotides) under uncultured bacterium. RNAcentral's name for it is "partial 16S ribosomal RNA". It matches the Rfam family "Bacterial small subunit ribosomal RNA", at positions 28 to 507 of the family's 1533-position model. The record is from RNAcentral.
GACGAACGCUGGCGGCGUGCUUAACACAUGCAAGUCGAACGGAAAGGCCCUGCUUUUGUGGGGUGCUCGAGUGGCGAACGGGUGAGUAACACGUGAGUAACCUGCCCUUGACUUUGGGAUAUCUUCAGGAAACUGGGGCUCAUACCGCGUAGGAGCUCCUGCUGCAUGGUGGGGGUUGGAAAGUUUCGGCGGUUGGGGAUGGAAUAGCGGCUUAUCAGCUUGUUGGGGGGGUAGUGGCUUACCAAGUCUUUGACGGGUAGGCGGCCUGAGAGGGGGAACGGCCACAUUGGGACUGAGGUACGGCCCAGACGCCUACGGGAGGCAACGGGGGGGAGUAUUACACAAUGGGCCGGAGCCAGAUGCGACAACGCCGCGAGCGGGAAGACGGGCUUCGGGUUGUGAACCGCUGUCGCCUUAGACGGAGCGAUAGUGACGGUAAUGGGUAAAGAAGCACCGGCUAACUACGUG